RNAcentral lists this unclassified non-coding RNA (302 nucleotides) under Melitaea cinxia (Glanville fritillary). RNAcentral's name for it is "misc RNA ENSMCXG00005019163.1". The record is from RNAcentral. Lineage: Eukaryota; Metazoa; Arthropoda; Insecta; Lepidoptera; Nymphalidae.
UGAUAUGCAUCAGAUAUGGAGAUGUUGGCACAGCAUUUGAUAAAUUUGGAGUCUUGUUUUUUCGGGUUAACUACGACUGAAUUUAGAAAACUUGCGUUCGAGUUUGCCGAAAAAUUUCAAUUACCCCAUCAUUUUAACAGAGCAUAUAGAUAUAGAGAGAUAUAUCGCACCUUCGAUGGUACAAGGGUUCAACUGCACUUUUUGUAAUUUUACAGGAGAGCCAUUUUAAAUUUUUUUUUGCAUUCCGAGUCGUAUUAUUCGUCUUUGUACUGCUUCAAAGUGUUUGUUCUUUGCAUGAAAUA